RNAcentral lists this ribosomal RNA (253 nucleotides) under uncultured bacterium. RNAcentral's name for it is "partial 16S ribosomal RNA". It matches the Rfam family "Bacterial small subunit ribosomal RNA", at positions 524 to 776 of the family's 1533-position model. The record is from RNAcentral.
GCCAGAGGGUGCAAACGUUGUUCGGAAUUACUGGGCGUAAAGCGCGUGUAGGCUGCUCGGAAAGUCGGAUGUGAAAGCCCUGGGCUCAACCUAGGAAGUGCAUUCGAAACUACCGAGCUGGAGUUCUGGAGAGGAAGGCGGAAUUCUCGGUGUAGAGGUGAAAUUCGUAGAUAUCGAGAGGAACACCGGUGGCGAAGGCGGCCUUCUGGACAGUGACUGACGCUGAGACGCGAAAGCGUGGGGAGCAAACAGG